Scylla paramamosain (green mud crab) is the source of this 2837-nucleotide long non-coding RNA. RefSeq lists it as uncharacterized. The transcript has 7 exons. NCBI's taxonomy places the organism in Eukaryota, Metazoa, Arthropoda, Malacostraca, Decapoda, Portunidae. The record is from RefSeq and is a predicted model, not a curated record.
AGGAGCUGUGGGAUUUGUCUCCCUCCCUUGCUGGAGUGCAGACCCCCUACUAAGAUGCCUCUAUUCAUGGGGGAUCCAUCUAAAGUUGUGAUCCAAGGCAUUCUGUGUAGCAUGGUGCAGUGUGACCCACCAGGGAUCCAUGGUUUGGUGGAGGUCAAGAAUUCUACCCAUCGUCUACAUUCCUUGGUUGAGGUGGUUCCUCGUGAACAUGGCGGGUAUCGUGAAUCAUUAUUUCUGCUGUUUCUGUCGUAUGAGUUAAAAUAUUUGUCUAGCGAUGUCAAAGGAUGGCCAAACAUAAAACAAGCGGUGGUUGGUAAUAUUCAAGAACAGCAGGCGAGGAUUGAAAACCGUAGUGAACUGGUGAAAUGAGCGAAGCUAGGAGGUUGUGGACAUGUUCAUUAUAAUGUUGCUUUACCUCAGAUGAUAAAAUACCCAUCAUGGUGUAUAUAUAUUAAAACCAAUGCAGUCCAAACAUGAAUAAUCCGAAUCCAAAGUUGGAACGAAGCCGGAUUCCGGACGGACACCACGAUAGCUGUCUCGUGUGCGCACUGCGCAGUGUACUUGGUCGUGAGGAGUGACAUCAAUGCUUGUCUUUCUCGCCUGAGUCGUUGACGUGCAAGGACGUCUCGUUGUUCUUCUCCUGUGGCCAGAGGUGUACUCUGUCGUUAAGGCCGUGGGUGGUGCACAUGUGCCGGACAGCCAGCUGAUGGGCGCCAGACUGUAAUGGUGAUCAGCCAGCUGCUACUGCCACCCGAGCCGGUGAGGCCAUGAACUGCUCCUCUCUGCCGCCUCCAGAUGGACCAUCUGCCCUUCGACCACAUCUGCCCUUUUGGUGUUCCACGUGCCGAGCGAAUCCGGGGAGAAGGUGACUCGGGGCAUCUCGACGCUGCUCUCCAUGACUGUCUUCCUCAUGACCAUCAGAGUCCCUGCCGCCCACUGAGAAGACACCGCUCGUCAGUAAGUGUGCCGUCACCUGUGUUCACGGAGGUCAAGGUAAGAAGCCACUGACCCACCACUCCUGCCCGCCACUCCGUCUGCUCGCCUUCACUUGGGUUCGGUGGAGGUGUUUCAUCGCCUUCGGUACUCUCAGGUGCGGGAACAUGACAAGAGGUGGCGGCGUUGGCAGCUGGUAAUACACCCUCACAGGUGACCAAGGGCAGUACCGUCGCCAGGUGGCCACACAGCCCCCCUCCUCAUACUGCUGGUGAACCUCAACGUGACAGAUGACCUCACUAAGGUUACAGGUCGCAGAGAUUACCUGUAUUUACAUCUAAGAUCUCUAGAUGGACGGUACGUGGAACUGAAUCCUGAGACGAAUCAUCUUGGCAGCGCGAGACUCAAGGGACGAGGCUGAUGUGAUUAUGUGUGGUGUAAAUAGCAAGCCAGCGCCAAGUACAUGAGUUGAGACGAAAAGACGCCGUGACGCAGUAGCUACGCCUCUGGUCUCGCGGACAGAUCUGCCGCAAGAGGUGAGUUUUGUCCUGGCCGCGGAAUUCCAGAUAACGCAGGUGUUUGGGAGGGUGGAUGAUCAGCCAGGACUGAGUAGAUGCUGAGUCUCGGGAGUGAACUAUGUGGUGCAGGACUGUAGCGGUUAUGCAGUCUCUUUUAACGAGACACAUAUCGUGGAGGAGGCUGGCGAGUGCUCUCAACACACGUGACGGAGCGGCGCCAUGGUAACUGUGACCGUGGCCAGGAAGUCUCUUGUGCUGAACACUGCAAUGUUGUGUUAUCAAGACUGUGUAUUGGUGCAGCGCAUACAGUCGGAUCACUAAGCGUGUUGUAGUGAUGAGACUAUAGCGAAUGAUUAUUGAUCGUUAGAAAAAACUAUAGGCGUGACAAUAAUUCGGUGCUUGAGUUAUACUAACGCAGCCGCCGCCAUCAUCACCGCCACCACCGCUACUGAGAUUAAGUACAUGAUUCUUGUUCUCGUUAAUAGUGAUAGGAAAGAAAUAUCUCCAUUUUCCCCCGUAUACUGUGGAAGUGCUCCCUCAACACACCGCCGCCGCCGCUAUGAGAGGCAUCCCGCUGCGGUGUGAGGGGAGGAGCCCGCCACCACGCCAGCAACUGAAGUGAAAGGAAAUGUAUUGUGAAGGAUACUGUGAGGCGGUAAGGUUGAGUACUAACGAAGAAAAAAAAAAAAAAGUUGGCAGAAAUGUACCAAGAGUUCUUUUUAAUAAAAUGAAGUAAAAGAGAAUGCAAUAUAGAUACGGUGAGGUUUGCACGCUAAUGAAUGGACAAAAAAAAAAAAAAAAACUUGCCUCAUGUUAAAUGAAUUAUUGAAAGAGUAUCACCAAUAAAAGGAACUAAAAGAAAAUGUAACAUUGAUGUGGUGAGAGUGCACGAUAACAGAUGAACUGUAAAGAAUGUAUUAUGUUACGUGAAAUGGGACAAGAUUUCUCACCAAUAAAGCGAGAUAAAAAAAAAUGUAGUAUGGAUGUGACGAGGGUGUGCACUGAUAGAUGGACAAAAAGAAUACGUAAUGAAGAAUAAGAUGUGGCAGGAGUCCUCACAAAACAAGACCAACUGAAGGAUAAUCUAACAUGGCAGCGUGAGUGCACACUUACAGGUGAAUUAAAGGAAUGUGUUAAUAUAAAAAUGUGACACAAUUUCUUACUCUAGGUGCAUAAAAAGGAAACGUAGAAUAUGUGACGUUGGAUGAACAUUAAUGAAAGGACUUACAAAUGAAUAUAACGCAAGAGAGGUUGUGUAGGAAGUUUUCACGAAUAAUUCAAGUCAAAGAAAAUGUGUUGUGAGAAAUGCUGUUCGGGUGUGUACAAAAUAAACGGGCUAAGAGAAUACAUAAUAUUGGAAAAAAAAAGUAAAUAAAUAAAUGAAUA